AAAAAAAAUUAGCCAAAAUCAGAAGUCUCUUGUGUCCUAGAAGUUUUCAUUGAGUGCUACUUCCUAAGGUAAAAAAUGUUGAGUUUGACCAAAAGAUACAGAUGAUCAAAACAUUAAAAUUAUGAAGCAGAAAAUAUGGCACAUAUGCAAAGACAGAAAAAAGGGGAACUUUUGUGGAAACUUUGAGAAGUACCCAGUCUUAGGCCCAGCAAAAAACAAAGGCAGAAAAACCCACCUUAAAACACUGGCAUUGUUACUCUCAGAAAAGAAUGAGCAUUUUAAGGGACUUGAAGUCUCUUGUUGGCUGUCUCCCUUGAACUACCUGGAGAAGACAUCUCACAGAGUUGUAAACACUUUAAGG
Molecule: long non-coding RNA, 361 nt
Organism: Piliocolobus tephrosceles (Ugandan red Colobus)
Lineage: Eukaryota; Metazoa; Chordata; Mammalia; Primates; Cercopithecidae
Exons: 3
Source: RefSeq, a predicted model, not a curated record